RNAcentral lists this transfer RNA (77 nucleotides) under Klebsiella pneumoniae. RNAcentral's name for it is "tRNA-Val". It matches the Rfam family "tRNA". From Rfam's summary of the family: Transfer RNA (tRNA) molecules are approximately 80 nucleotides in length. RNAcentral also lists the same sequence under 2 other names. The record is from RNAcentral. Lineage: Bacteria; Pseudomonadati; Pseudomonadota; Gammaproteobacteria; Enterobacterales; Enterobacteriaceae.
GCGUUUGUAGCUCAGUUGGUUAGAGCACCACCUUGACAUGGUGGGGGUCGUUGGUUCGAGUCCAAUUGAACGCACCA